GGGGAAAGACCAGAAAGCCAGAAAAUGUAGAAUACUGCCAGCCACCGACCAGAUUACCUUUCUCCAACUUCAGGCUCCUUUACGCCAGCCACAGCCCUAGAAAGCCACUAGGAAUCUCCGUGAAGUUCUGCCUGCAGAAGCCGUCUCAGAUCUCCUCGGGCUGCUGGCACCCGGGGACACCCCCUUCCUGCCCAGGGCUGCCGGGCCGUGUCCUCGCCCGGCGCUCAGCGAGCGCUGCCUCCCGCAUCCCCGCGGCUGCCGCCCCCGCCGCGCAGCCCGUUCGGGGCUCCGCUUCACCCUCAUCACUUCCUGGGACUCAUUCCCCUCGGAGGCUGGCGGGGUCCGAGCCUGCACCCCUCGGGGAGCCCCGCGCAGGGUGGGGGGCGGCAGCGCCCUGCCCCGGGGCCCCGGCGGCUGCCGCCCCCGCUGCGCUCAGCUCCGCGCCCCGCUCAGCUCCGC
This is a long non-coding RNA of Apus apus (common swift), 459 nucleotides long. RefSeq lists it as uncharacterized. The record is from RefSeq and is a predicted model, not a curated record. Lineage: Eukaryota; Metazoa; Chordata; Aves; Apodiformes; Apodidae. The transcript is spliced from 3 exons.